This is a non-coding RNA of Triticum aestivum (bread wheat), 123 nucleotides long. NCBI's taxonomy places the organism in Eukaryota, Viridiplantae, Streptophyta, Magnoliopsida, Poales, Poaceae. The record is from Rfam.
AACAUACUCCCUCCGUCCGAAAAUACUUGUCGAAGAAAUGGAUGUACCUAGACAUAUUUUAGUUCUAGACAUCCAUUUUUAUCCAUUUUUCCGACGCGUAUUUUCGGAUGGAGGGAGUGCUUA